AACGAACGCUGGCGGCAUGCCUAACACAUGCAAGUCGAACGAGACCUUCGGGUCUAGUGGCGCACGGGUGCGUAACGCGGGGUAACCUGCCCUUAGGUUCGGAAUAACUCCCCGAAAGGGGUGCUAAUACCGGUUAAUGUCUUCGGACCAAAGAUUUAUCGCCUUUGGAUGGGCCCGCGUUGGAUUAGCUAGUUGGUAGGGUAAAAGCCUACCAAGGCGACGAUCCAUAGCUGGUCUGAGAGGAUGAUCAGCCACACUGGGACUGAGACACGGCCCAGACUCCUACGGGAGGCAGCAGUGGGGAAUAUUGGACAAGGGGCGAAAGCCUGAUCCAGCAAUGCCGCGUGAGUGAUGAAGGCCUUAGGGUUGUAAAGCUCUUUUACCCGGGAUGAUAAUGACAGUACCGGGAGAAUAAGCUCCGGCUAACUCCGUG
This 433-nucleotide ribosomal RNA is filed under the name uncultured bacterium. Its description in RNAcentral is "partial 16S ribosomal RNA". It matches the Rfam family "Bacterial small subunit ribosomal RNA", at positions 29 to 507 of the family's 1533-position model. The record is from RNAcentral.